RNAcentral lists this ribosomal RNA (238 nucleotides) under uncultured Lactobacillus sp. Its description in RNAcentral is "partial 16S ribosomal RNA". It matches the Rfam family "Bacterial small subunit ribosomal RNA", at positions 125 to 355 of the family's 1533-position model. Lineage: Bacteria; Bacillati; Bacillota; Bacilli; Lactobacillales; Lactobacillaceae. The record is from RNAcentral.
CCGUGCCCAAGAGAUCGGGAUAACACCUGGAAACAGAUGCUAAUACCGGAUAACAACAGAUGAUGCCUAUCAACUGUUUAAAAGAUGGUUCUGCUAUCACUCUUGGAUGGACCUGCGGUGCAUUAGCUAGUUGGUAGGGUAACGGCAUACCAAGGCGAUGAUGCAUAGCCGAGUUGAGAGACUGAUCGGCCACAUUGGGACUGAGACACGGCCCAAACUCCUACGGGAGGCAGCAGCC